AACGAACGCUGGCGGCAUGCCUAACACAUGCAAGUCGAACGAGACCUUCGGGUCUAGUGGCGCACGGGUGCGUAACGCGUGGGAACCUGCCCUUAGGUUCGGAAUAACUCCCCGAAAGGGGUGCUAAUACCGGAUAAUGUCUUCGGACCAAAGAUUUAUCGCCUUUGGAUGGGCCCGCGUUGGAUUAGCUAGUUGGUAGGGUAAAAGCCUACCAAGGCGACGAUCCAUAGCUGGUCUGAGAGGAUGAUCAGCCACACUGGGACUGAGACACGGCCCAGACUCCUCCGGGAGGCAGUAGUGGGGAAUAUUGGACAAUGGGCGAAAGCCUGAUCCAGCAAUGCCGCGUGAGUGAUGAAGGCCUUAGGGUUGUAAAGCUCUUUUACCCGGGAUGAUAAUGACAGUACCGGGAGAAUAAGCUCCGGCUAACUCCGUG
This 433-nucleotide ribosomal RNA is filed under the name uncultured bacterium. RNAcentral describes it as "partial 16S ribosomal RNA". It matches the Rfam family "Bacterial small subunit ribosomal RNA", at positions 29 to 507 of the family's 1533-position model. The record is from RNAcentral.